CUCUCGUAUUGUCUCUCUCUCUACAACCCAUAAACCACCUAACCCUUUAUCUCUCACCUAUUGUCCAUCUCUUCUCACUCGUAUUAUCUCUCUUUGCAACCUAGAAACCACCCCUACUCACUUCAAAACUGAAAGCACCCUUCCUUCCACUCAAUUCAAAACCGAGCUGACAUCUUACUCACUAUCUCGAUCAUUUCAUUUUGCCUUUCUCAUCUGCCUUCACUUAGUCUCAGACUCUUUCUCUUUCUCGGAUUUGAAGUUUAGCAGCCACCCACCGUCUAACAAUCUCACUCCGACAAACUGUCUCCACUCUGGCCACCACCACACCUCAUGGCUUCAUCCCCACCUCCGGUUCUUUCUAGUGAUUCUAUGUGUGUUUGGGAUUUCGAAUUAAGGUUAGGGUUUCGAAUUGGGGGCUCGGGUUAGGAAGAGGACACAGGUUCGGAUGAUUUUAAUAUCAAUCUAGAUGAUUUGAAUUCUGAUGCAGGUUUGGUUUCGGGAAAUUCCGAAAAUAUUUCGGGAAUCCCGAAAUUUAGGUUCAAGAUCGGUCCCGAGAAUUUUGUCUCGAAAAUUUUCGGUUCGGGAUUUUGUCUCGAAAACUUUUGGUUCGGUAUCCCAUACUGAACCAGCCCUACAUAUACUCAAUGAUGAAUCCUAUUCUUCAAAACGCCCCCUCACGAGUAGCUCCACACGGUGUCACAAGAGAAAUCAAUCCUUACAUCAGGAACUAGUUAAUUCAUUACGUCGGAGCUAACACAAUUUUCACAAGUUCAGUCAUCAACCGUUCAACUAAGGCCAACACAAUUUUUCGAAGGCCCAGUGAUUCAAUUCCUUAAGCCAUAUGAAAACUUUUAUAUAUUUACUUUAUAAAUAUGGGAUUAUUGUU
Molecule: long non-coding RNA, 886 nt
Organism: Pyrus x bretschneideri (Chinese white pear)
Lineage: Eukaryota; Viridiplantae; Streptophyta; Magnoliopsida; Rosales; Rosaceae
Exons: 2
Source: RefSeq, a predicted model, not a curated record